This 6635-nucleotide unclassified non-coding RNA is filed under the name Venturia canescens. RNAcentral's name for it is "uncharacterized LOC122419480, transcript variant X6". The record is from RNAcentral. Lineage: Eukaryota; Metazoa; Arthropoda; Insecta; Hymenoptera; Ichneumonidae.
UUAACUUGCUACUAUAUAUGUGAUAUAUCGGAGUGUGAUUAAACACAGAUGCACAUAACACGCCUACCUGCUAGACGAACCGUGUCUUUUUGAUACAUCGUUUUCAUCUAUUUCUUCCCUCUCUUUUCUCCCGUACUCACUGGUGUGCAAGUUUUUUAAUCUAUCAUUGCAAUAAUCUUAUUUUAUCUACUAACGAAUCAACAGUUAAAGAAAAAAUCUAACAAUAGAAGACGUAAUGUAUGGGAAUGCAAAAUGACGGGUUUUUCGUGAGCGCGAUAAACUCUUGCCCUCCAUACACAUAGUUCCAGGUUAUUUACAUACACGACAUAACUACAAUAAACGAUCAAUUAAUGAAUUGUUGAUAUUCGCUAUAUUUCUCUUCGACAAUUUUAAGGUUCAUCGUGACUGUGCGUGAUUGCUUAUUCUUUUGAAUGUUUUUUAUAUCAUCAAAGAAAAUUCUCCUACUGGAACGCGCUAGACCGUUUAGUAACAAAAAGUGGAAGAAAGCUGGAAGUAGCUAGAAAAUAUUUUGGCUUUCCUUAUCAUGAUGGAAGAGUGAACGAAAAGAAAUUAUAUUCGAUGAACUGCGAUGAUCGACUUGAAGUGGAUCUUCUAGUAGCAAGAAGUGGAAGAAAUUUGACAGUGCUCUAGACAUUUUGGGAUGAAAAUGUUUUUUUUAUCCUCGUCAUGAUGGAAUAGUGGACAAAAAGAAAGUAUUUUGGAUAAACUGCGAUGGUUGACUUGAGGUGGAUUUGCUGGUACCUUUUGAAAGGUGUGCCAACACUUUUUGCCUUUCCCAUUGAAUCAUCACAGGCCUCAGACUCGGAUUUCUGGAAAGUACAAUGGGAAUAUUGGCCCCAAUAUACUCUUGGGAUUCUGAGCUUCGUCGUUGUAGCAUCUACUCUUGUCGGAUGUCUCUGUUGUCAGAGACAGCGCCGUCCAAAAGGAUUUCAGGACGAUGCUGCAACAGGCAAGGAAUUCAAGGAUGGAAGUACAGCGGGAACGGAAACAACAAUCGAGCGUGUGCCUUCCUCGAGUCUCGAACUCGAAGUACCACGACGCAUUUCAACACCAUCGAGAGAGAAGAUUUUAUUUGAUGAGAUAUUGUUGUCCAAUUAUACGGAUGGAAGAUCAGCUUUAAAACCGCCAUCGUCAUCGCUCUAUAACAAUGAUGACAAUGAAGAGAAUGAAAUAUCACGUAAUCGAGGGAAAAACGAGUGGUACGAAGGUGAAAAUUUUCCCCGCGAAAAGUUGAAAUAUCUUCGUGAAAUUGGUCGUGGCUGGUUUGGCAAAGUAGUCGAAGGGAUGACAGUACUCGAGGAAGGAAACGUCACGAUGUUGGGGAAAAACCGUGGUGUCGUCGUAAGGAUUUUAACGGAAGGUGCAACGAGCAGAGAAAAAUCGUGGUUCCUCGGGGAGUCGACACCGUAUUUAAAACUUCGACAUCCAAACGUUCUUGAACUUUUGGGUUUUUGCCUGGAGACUGAUCCAUUUCUCUUGCUCUUUGAAUCUUGUCCCGUUGGAGACCUGAAAAAUUUUUUGCUGGAAAAUCGCGAGACCGGUGAUGCCCUCCGAAAGGAAAAUGUACCGAUGAGAAUGGCGCUGAAUAUUGCCAACGCCCUCGAACAUAUGCACGAAAAUGGAUUUGCUCAUACAGAUUUAUCUGCAAGAAAUUGUCUCGUGGCUCAUGAUUUAACCGCUAAAUUGGGCGACUAUGGGGUCGGGGUCGAGAAAUAUCCUGGCGAUUAUUACAUCGUGGGUGAUCGUGCCUUGCCGAUACGAUGGUCAGCCCCGGAAAGCUUAGAAUGCACGGAAACGACGAUCGAAACGAGAGCAAUUACACCGCACGCGAAUGUUUGGAGUUACGGUGUGCUGCUGUGGGAAAUAGCUAGCUGGGCGGAGCGUCCUUACGACCAUCUUUGCGAUGAGCAAGUUAUCGAAUUAAUAUUUUCCCCCAGAAGCGAGAAAUCUGUUGAAUUGGUUGAUAAAUUUAUCGCCAAACACGACUUGCCGGCAAAUUUUCGAGAAGCUUUAGAAGCAACGUGGAAAUUUGCGCCCACCGAGCGUUCGAGCCUGAGAAACGUGCGAGAAAUACUAUGUGGAAAAAAGAUGGAAGAUUUCGAGCAACGAUGGGAAAAUUUAAAGCCAAAUGGGCCAUGCUCCGUCGAUAAAAGUGCGAGUUUACAAGAUCUCAGAGGGAGCAUGGACUCCGGGCUGUGCCAGGCGAAUUCGUACCUUGAUAAAAAUUCUCUACGAGCCAACUUUCGUCUGGGACCCGAAGAAGAGCCUGUCGUUAAUUGUGCGAGCAUAAGAGAAACCAUUUGUCAAACCGAGUCGGGAUCAGAGACCGAGGAGGAAAGUUGGAGGGGUCGCGUCGAGCGUGGCGCUUAUACAGAAAAGGUUAAACAAAAAUCGAAGUCAGUAGCCGAUCUCAUGGUUCUCGUCCACAUUGAUUCAGACUCCGAUGUCGAAUCUUCGCUGGGACCGCAGAACAUCGAUAAGCCUAUGAAAAAACGUUUACCACCGUCGGGUAGCGACGGUGAUCUCCGCCGCGGUGCCGUUAUCGCCGACGAAUUUGACGAAGCUCUGAGGAAACUACGCGAUCCCUCUAAUGUUGCAAAUAGCUUCGUUACGAGAACGACAAAAAGUACGAUGGAUCACGUAAAUACUGACUCCAAGGUCAAUGAAAACGUGAAAAUUGUAGAUAAUAUCGUACAAAGUGUCGAAAUUAACGAAAUUAUCGAGAAGCCCAAAUUAUUAACUCUCACCAGUCAUCAGGGAAAAACUCCGAUAUUGAGAUUAUCGUUUGGCGGCAAUCCUCUGUCAUCAGAUUCGAGUGAGCCCAAUCUCAAAGACGAUAGUUUUCAAAACGAAGAACGCGUUGUUGAAAAAAUUGAGCAAGAUACGACGAGCGGUGACAAAAAUUCAAGUGAUACAAGAGAAUUUUUGCGAAACGAGGAACCCGUCGUCUUGCGAUUGGUCUCCAAAGGUAAUCCGGAUCUUCCACUUUUGCGUUAUAUUCCCGAACGUAGUUCAACACCAGUGAACCCAGUAGAUAAAGCCCCUUCGGAUGCAUUUCUCGUAUCUGAAAGUCGUGAGGCUCCUCCUUUGUUGACCGACACAACUGGCAAUGGGCCGAAUAGCGUCGACGUUGAAUUGUGGAACGACGCUCUGGGUGAAGAAUUGGAAAAGAAAAACCCUCUUUUCGUUGAAAAUGUCACUAUUUUUCAUGAAUACGCUCAAGAUCGAAUGCUCUAUUUUGAUAAUUCGUCAACAGCUCCGCUCGACAAAGACGCCGGUUUUCACAAAAAAAAUUCAAACUCUGGAUCAAGCACACCAAAAUCGUUGCAAAGUUUCCCUGUUUCAUCGUGUCCUUCCGGUACACGAUACAAUUUUUCAGCGGCCUGUUUAUCGGCUCCUGCAACUCCACGACGCAACGAUAAUCUUAUUUCGAUUUCGGGUCAACGAUUACGGGACAGGCGUAAAGAAGAAAUGAGAAAAAAGACGGAUUAUUAUCCGGAUGAUUGUGUUGUCCUACGAGGCUCGUUAUCUGCGCCGGAAACACCCUUCCGUCGAAAGUACAAUGAAGAUUCGUCAACUUGCGAAGAUCUCGACGAGGAGAGACAUGACGUGAAAGACUCCGCUCCGGAUACGCCACAAUCUCGUUGUAACUAUUCGGUCGGUAAUGCUGACGAAGAUUUGUCAUCAGUCGGCGAUGAACUUGAACCCGCUGGGAUAAUGAAAAGAUCGUCGCACGAAGUCGACGAUGAGGAAGAUCGUAAACAUUUGUCAACCCCGGACGAUGAGCGGAGUUCAGAUUCGGGUUUCCGUGACAAAGAAUCGUGCGAGGAAGAAGAGUCCCCGAUUCCAGGUUCACAGGUACUAUCGAGUAUCGAAAUACUCGGCACGAGAAUUUCUUGCGUAAACCUGAAAAAUUCGUCACCGCUAUUCUCCGCCUCGGCCGAAGAAGAACAAAUGCGAAUUUUGUUUGAGUUAGAUACGAUUCUUGAUGCUGAGUAUUACGGAAACUCCCGUGAUCCAGACAAAAUUGACGACACCGAAAUCUCUUUGGAAAUAAAUGAAAAAUUACAUUUUGAGGACACCGAUGAGAUUGCUGAAAAAAUUAGAUCGAUAUCGGAAUCCCACGGUUCUACGGAAUCGACGGAUAUUCUAGAGACGGUCAGAGCUAAUUCUUGCGAUGCUAAUUUCUUGGAUCAUUUUUUCAGUUCCAAGGACGACACGAAUCAAGAUUCAAAAUUUGAAUACUUCAAUGAUACGAGUUCGGCUGAUUUGUUGGAAAGCAUGGAGGUUGAUUCGGUGAGCGACGAAUGCUCAAUAAAAAUCGAGGAGAAUCGCUUGAGUUCGAAAAAAGAAGAUUUAAUGGUGGGAGGAGGGGCCCAUUCAAGCUGCGAAUCUCCGAUAAAAACUUCUGAUAAAUCACCGAGCACGGAUUCCUCAGCCGAAUUGAUUCGUUUGAAUAUUGAUUCCUCAGAGACGCCUUCGGAUAUCAUGAAAAACGAAUCAAUUAGCAGCGAAAUCUCGCCGAUAAAAACCGAUCGCAAUUCAUUUACGGAUGGAUCUCUGGAUCUUCAGAUCGUAGUCAGCGACUCGACGAGUUCUUCCGAUAAAGAUGCUCUGAAUAAGGUCGCUUCGUUCGACGAUAUCUCCAAAGUCCUUUCUCAAGAAUCGAAAAGUUUUUCAUCACAUAAUAUAGACAGUAAAACCAACGAAAUAAAUUAUGUGGAAAACUGCUCUUCGAAUUUACCGCUUGAGGAAGAUUCUAGGAAUACGCAACUGAAGAAUCCUCCUGCUGGCAGUGACUCCGAGAUAAUCAACUUGACGAGUCCGUCAAUUGAAGAGGAAUUUUCGUCGAGCCGGAGCGAAGACGUUGCGGAAAUUUCUACACGGGCCGAAACACUGAUCACCGAUUUCGAAUCAAUAAAUCAAGACAAAUUACGAACGAACGAGAGUUUCGAAGCUCAAGAAAAAAAAACGGAAACCGAAACGGAAAACUCAAUAUGUUUACCGCAUGGAGCUGAACGAAGAAAUUUUCAGGGAGAUGACGCUUUUGAAUACUCAUCCGAAGAUAGUCAAAAUUUAUGUACGUUCGUCGAUAGAGCAGACGACGGAGAUUCAACGAUAGAAAAUCACGAUAAAAUAGUAUGUUCUUCGAACGAAUUACUGUUGAUACGCGAUGAGAAUCGAGGUUCGAAUAUUUCCGUUGAUGCACUAAUACAACGCGAUCCAUUAAAUUCGGACGUUGAACAAUGGUCUUGGAGAGAAAAUAUCAACGAGAUUAACGACGACAAUGAGGAGGAUAGCUCGACGAUGUCGUUGAAGAGCGAUAAUUCAUACGUUUCGUUUGGUCUCGACGAAGCUUUCGUAACGGCGAUAAGAAACGAGUUGACGGAAAAACUGCCACGAGCUCAAAUGCCAGUUGUCGAGGCGCUCGAUCCGCACGAUGAGACGGAAACGGCAACGGCGUCUAUAAAUCCAGAAACGACUGCCAAACAUUGGGGGGAAGAUGAAGAAAUUGAUUCGAGUCCGGAACGCUCGAGCGUCGAUAUAUCUAUUCGAUAUAAUAUUUAUGGAACUCCUUUGAGUCCCAUUUUGGAAGAGCGCGAGAGCGCUGCAACUUCCGAGUCUCUUUUCUCGAAAGAAGAAUCCGCCGAUGCCUCAAUCGCGUCUAGAGUUUCGGCAUUGUCCGAGGACGUUCUUGUCGUUGACACCCUAACUAAUCGGGCGAUCAUCGUUGAAGCUGGUGCCAAUGGGGGUAACGUUGGAACCUUAGAUUCUCAACAAGAUGAAGACAGGGACACCUCCCACGGCGACAUUUCCGAUGAAGAAAAUCUUGAAUAUCCACAAAACCAUUUCAACAGAGGCUUCGGUAAUAAAAAAACUUGGUUGGGGAGCGGAGGUGCACCUCUGCCAAGUCCCGAGGAAGAGAGCAAAUGGCAACAACAAUUUCCACUCCCUCUGCAAAUGCAGGAUGAUCUUAUGAGCACGAGCUUCGGUACCGACCGUGAUUGGGACAGUCAGGAUGAUGAGGAGGGUGAAGAUGAAGUCGAAGAGGGAGACGACGAUGAAGAAGAGAAUAGUUCGAGUUCUGGCGAAUUCGUUUGGAAGCGAUACGAUGAUGCUGGGGAUUUGGAGAAAGUUGCAACUCGCAGUCCACCGUCUAAGCCAAAAUCCCACGAGACCGAAGUCGAUUUAGACGAGGAAGCGGAGGAAGAAGGUGACGACGGCGAGGAGGAAGAUGACGAGGAAGAGGAAGAGUUCACGCCGUCAGCCUGGGAUGCGACGUUGGCUCCUCAUCGGUCUGCUCUUAGAUCUCCUGAGAAAAAUCUUAAGACUGGGGAUGAAUUGGUAGGAUCAGAAGAAAAGCGUUUGGUUCAAGAAGCAACGGUAUCACUGUGUCUACGAGUAUCCAAAGGAGACUCUUGUGGUCAAUGCUCAGGGGCAAGUUGCGACCACGUGGGAACCAACUUCGUACACUGACUGGGAAGACAUGAUGAACGAACCUGCACGUCUCGAUAUCUACCCGAUUGAAUACGAUGAGACGAAUCGUGCCGGGGACGAAGAAUUUUACCACGAGAGUCAACACCAGAUAUCGUCUUCGUCGUCGUUGACGUCGC